This 253-nucleotide ribosomal RNA is filed under the name uncultured bacterium. RNAcentral describes it as "partial 16S ribosomal RNA". It matches the Rfam family "Bacterial small subunit ribosomal RNA", at positions 524 to 776 of the family's 1533-position model. The record is from RNAcentral.
UACGGAGGGUGCGAGCGUUAAUCGGAAUUACUGGGCGUAAAGCGCACGCAGGCGGUUUGUUAAGCUAGAUGUGAAAGCCCCGGGCUCAACCUGGGAUGGUCAUUUAGAACUGGCAGACUGGAGUCUUGGAAAGGGGAGUGGAAUUCCAGGUGUAGCGGUGAAAUGCGUAGAUAUCUGGAGGAACAUCAGUGGCGAAGGCGUCUCCCUGGCCAAAGACUGACGCUCAUGUGCGAAAGUGUGGGUAGCGAACAGG